RNAcentral lists this long non-coding RNA (236 nucleotides) under Mus musculus (house mouse). RNAcentral describes it as "predicted gene, 50081". Lineage: Eukaryota; Metazoa; Chordata; Mammalia; Rodentia; Muridae. The record is from RNAcentral.
GGCAGUGAGUAUUUGCAAGAAACUCCCUCAUUGGCUUUCCCAGGUGAAAUGGUAUGAUCAUCUCACUGUGUGUCCCAGACUGGCUUCAAACUCUGUCUCCCUGGUGCAUCCUCCAGGGGGUUGGAUUGUGUAUGUGUCCAGCAUCUCAGGAUAUGUCCAUUCUAAUGAGGAAGGUGAUCAGACAGAGUUUCCCUAUUCCAUGGUUGUUAAGAAGCACCAUGAUCAAGGCAGCUUUU